This 468-nucleotide ribosomal RNA is filed under the name uncultured bacterium. RNAcentral's name for it is "partial 16S ribosomal RNA". It matches the Rfam family "Bacterial small subunit ribosomal RNA", at positions 28 to 507 of the family's 1533-position model. The record is from RNAcentral.
GAUGAACGCUGGCGGCGUGCUUAACACAUGCAGGUCGAACGGAAAGGCCCAAGCUUGCUUGGGUACUCGAGUGGCGAACGGGUGAGUAACACGUGGGUGAUCUGCCCUGCACUUCGGGGUAAGCCUGGGAAACUGGGUCUAAUACCGGAUAGGACGAUGGUUUGGAUGCCAUUGUGGAAAGUUUUUUCGGUGUGGGAUGAGCUCGCGGCCUAUCAGCUUGUUGGUGGGGUAAUGGCCUACCAAGGCGUCGACGGGUAGCCGGCCUGAGAGGGUGUACGGCCACAUUGGGACUGAGAUACGGCCCAGACUCCUACGGGAGGCAGCAGUGGGGAAUAUUGCACAAUGGGCGCAAGCCUGAGGCAGCGACGCCGCGUGGGGGAUGACGGCCUUCGGGUUGUAAACUCCUUUCGCUAGGGACGAAGCGUUUUUGUGACGGUACCUGGAGAAGAAGCACCGGCUAACUACGUG